Molecule: transfer RNA, 77 nt
Filed under: Cordylochernes scorpioides
Lineage: Eukaryota; Metazoa; Arthropoda; Arachnida; Pseudoscorpiones; Chernetidae
Description: tRNA-Gly
Rfam family: tRNA
About the family: Transfer RNA (tRNA) molecules are approximately 80 nucleotides in length. Their secondary structure includes four short double-helical elements and three loops (D, anti-codon, and T loops).
Source: RNAcentral
UCAUAACAAUCGGUGGUUCAGUGGUAGAAUGCUCGCCUGCCGCGCGGGCGGCCCGGGUUCGAUUCCCGGCCGGUGAA